Molecule: small RNA, 439 nt
Filed under: Pan troglodytes (chimpanzee)
Lineage: Eukaryota; Metazoa; Chordata; Mammalia; Primates; Hominidae
Description: retained intron
Source: RNAcentral
GGGCCUCUGGGUGCCAAUCCCAUCCGGAAGAGCAGCCGACCAGCAUCUUGCCUUCUGGACACAGCACCCUGGCUGAGCUCUGCCCGCCUGGAGGCUCCCACAGGAUGGCCCUGGGGACUGCUGCUGCACUCGGGUCGAAUGUCAUCAGGAAUGAGCAGCUGCCCCUGCAGUACUUGGCCGAUGUGGACACCUCUGAUGAGGAAAGCAUCCGGGCUCACGUGAUGGCCUCCCACCAUUCCAAGCGGAGAGGCCGGGCGUCUUCUGAGAGUCAGGUAAUGGUGGCUGGAAAGACUUCUGUCUUGUCGUUUCUUUGGGUGGAGUCUUUUUACCUCCACACCAAGUCACUUUAGAGAAAUUACAGCUUUUAAUACUUUCAAACUAUGAAAUUGCACAAGCCUACUUAAUGGAGAUACGUCAUCACAAUAUUUUUUGUGGAAGU